UUAUUUCUUGAAUGCAAUUUGGCUAAAUUUUUAUUAGAUUAAGGAACAAAGUGUUCCAGCCUCCCAAGUUUACAAGUAAAUGAGUAUAGCCGAACAGAACUGACACCCCGGUCCAAACGACCAUACAGGGCUAGGUGGCACACACAAACUCACAACACAACAGAAACCAGGAAUACGUCUCACACCCAGGACAUUCAACAGAAAAGAUAACAAAGAUCCCUAGUUCUGUAAACUCUUCUGUUGCUUCCGGCCCCAACUCCCAAAGACUUGCAGCAGCAGCAUAUGUUUGGAGUAUAAUUCCUUGCGUGUUUGGAAUUGACUCUUGAGCAUUUGUGGAUAUGUUAACAGAGAUUCAUCUCUAAGGUAAACUGUUCCACACAGUUGGAGUGGCAGCAGUUUGUUGUGCUCUGUGGAGAGCCAGAAACAACAUAUGCUUUGAAAACAAAACAAGUAAAUAUACCUACUGCGAUUGUGUGCUUGUGCUUGUUUGUUCGUUUGAAAACAAAACGAGUAAAUAUACCUAUUGAGAUUGUGUGCUUGUUUGUUCGUUUAUUUCUUACUAGGCAGGUUUACAGAGCAAGAAGA
RNAcentral lists this long non-coding RNA (585 nucleotides) under Sorghum bicolor (sorghum). RNAcentral's name for it is "long non-coding RNA (SBIC_LNC010826)". The record is from RNAcentral. Lineage: Eukaryota; Viridiplantae; Streptophyta; Magnoliopsida; Poales; Poaceae.